Molecule: long non-coding RNA, 733 nt
Organism: Oncorhynchus tshawytscha (Chinook salmon)
Lineage: Eukaryota; Metazoa; Chordata; Actinopteri; Salmoniformes; Salmonidae
Source: Ensembl
CGUCUUGGUGUUUGACACUGUGGACCAUACCGUCUUGGUGUUUGACACUGUGGACCAUACCGUCUUGGUGUUUGACACUGUGGACCAUACCGUCUUGGUGUUUGACACUGUGGACCAGACCGUCUUGGUGUUUGACACUGUGGACCAUACCGUCUUGGUGUUUGACACUGUGGACCAUACCGUCUUGGUGUUUGACACUGUGGACCAUACCGUCUUGGUGUUUGACACUGUGGACCAUACCGUCUUGGUGUUUGACACUGUGGACCAUACCGUCUUGGUGUUUGACACUGUGGACCAUACCGUCUUGGUGUAGAGAUUGAACUGUAUUUGGGAUUACUGGUCAUGCUCUGGAGUGGUUUGUGAACAACUUGUCAAAUAGAACCCAGUGUGUUAAGGCAGAUGGUUCGGACACCGUUGAGUUGUGCUCGGUGUGCCUCAAGGAUCCAUUUUAGGUCCCCUGUUAAUUAUCUGUAUCAACAACAUUGUGAGCCAUAUUGAGACAGCUGAUGUUCAUUUUUAUGUGGAUGACACUGUUCUCUAGUCAGGUGACAGCAGUUUAACACUGUUCUCCAGUCAGGUGACAGCAGUUUAACACUGUUCUCCAGUCAGGUGACAGCAGUUUGACACUGUUCUCCAGUCAGGUGACAGCAGUUUGACACUGUUCUCCAGUCAGGUGACAGCAGUUUGACACUGUUCUCCAGUCAGGUGACAGCAGUUUGACACUGUUCUCCAG